This 908-nucleotide long non-coding RNA is filed under the name Phoenix dactylifera (date palm). RNAcentral's name for it is "long non-coding RNA (PDAC_LNC016886)". Lineage: Eukaryota; Viridiplantae; Streptophyta; Magnoliopsida; Arecales; Arecaceae. The record is from RNAcentral.
CUAUAACUAAAGGAGAGAGAAAGAAUACUAAAUGAAAAGUGAUUCUAAUACUCUCCAAUAUGUAUCAUCUGAAAUUUAAAUUCUGAAAAUCUUUAUGAUACACCUUGAGGCGUGUUAUUUGGUUAGUAUAUCUCAUGCAUCACUCUUGAACCAAAUUGCAAAUCUUAAGAGCCUCUAAUUUAAUGAAAAAGGAGGAGAAUAAUGUGUUAAAUUUUUUUGAGUAUCUCUUAGAAAAUCUAUUUUUUUUAAAACUUCACUAAUGAGCUCUAAUUGGCUUGCUUUUUUGGAACUUCAAUUUUGUGCAAAUUCAUUAUUUUAUGUAUCAAAUUGUGCUUAUUUUCUAAAGAAAUAAAAGAAUAAAGUCUUUAAAAGAGCUUUAAAAGAACCUUCAAAGCCUUGAACUUUAUGUAUACUCUAAGAUAUAUUAUAAAUUGCAUGAAUUCAUAUUUUGGUAUUUAUGCCACAAUAUUUUUACACCAUAAAAGCACUUUGCAAUCAUACUUAAUAUAUUGCUCUUAUACUCAGAAAAUUAGUUAAAUUGCUCUCAUGUUGAUAAAGUACUUAAUAGAUUGGGCACAAGAUCUUAAAUGAACAAGCUUUCACACUUAUUAUUGAAGAGAGGUUAAAUUUCCACUUCUUGAAUUAACCUAAGGAAGAUUCCACCUACACUUGAUUAGAAAACUAUCUGUGGUAUCAAAUUAAAAAACCUCUUGAAUUCACACUCGAUGUGUUCUACUCUGAUCUUUGUACUUAAUGUUUCACUAUCUUUUUGAUGUUGUCAAAAAGGGGGAGAAAUAUCUAAGUAUAUGCUAUAUACUCAGAAUGCUUUAUUACUUUGAAUUAAAUACAAAUCAAGCUUAAAAUUUAAAUAUGUUGAUUGUGUUAAGCUGAUUAAAUCUAAAGCAUUA